This is a long non-coding RNA of Sapajus apella (tufted capuchin), 190 nucleotides long. RefSeq lists it as uncharacterized. NCBI's taxonomy places the organism in Eukaryota, Metazoa, Chordata, Mammalia, Primates, Cebidae. The record is from RefSeq and is a predicted model, not a curated record. The transcript is spliced from 3 exons.
GUUGUUGAAAACUUUAUGGUGGAGAAUGAAUGAUGUCUGUUGGAGGGGGAGAGGAAGAGAAAGAAUCAGGAAGCUGAGUUUCCUCAGAAACGUUGGCAAAGCAAGUCAUUGAAACUGGUUCAGGGUGCUCUCCUCACCUGGGAUGGGCCCCGAGCCUCCAUUUACGGCCUCACGGGGGCCACUCUGCCUU